Molecule: ribosomal RNA, 233 nt
Filed under: uncultured Actinomycetales bacterium
Lineage: Bacteria; Bacillati; Actinomycetota; Actinomycetes; Actinomycetales
Description: partial 16S ribosomal RNA
Rfam family: Bacterial small subunit ribosomal RNA
Source: RNAcentral
GGCGAACGGGUGAGUAACACGUGGGUGAUCUGCCCUGCACUCUGGGAUAAGCCUGGGAAACUGGGUCUAAUACCGGAUAGGACCAUGCUUUAGUGUGUGUGGUGGAAAGUUUUUCGGUGUAGGAUGAGCCCGCGGCCUAUCAGCUUGUUGGUGGGGUAAUGGCCCACCAAGGCGGCGACGGGUAGCCGGACUGAGAGGUUGGUCGGCCACAUUGGGACUGAGAUACGGCCCAG